RNAcentral lists this ribosomal RNA (393 nucleotides) under Clostridium butyricum. Its description in RNAcentral is "bacterial SSU rRNA". It matches the Rfam family "Bacterial small subunit ribosomal RNA", at positions 373 to 786 of the family's 1533-position model. Lineage: Bacteria; Bacillati; Bacillota; Clostridia; Eubacteriales; Clostridiaceae. The record is from RNAcentral.
GGGGGACCUGAUGCAGCAACGCCGCGUGAGUGAUGACGGUCUUCGGAUUGUAAAGCUCUGUCUUUAGGGACGAUAAUGACGGUACCUAAGGAGGAAGCCACGGCUAACUACGUGCCAGCAGCCGCGGUAAUACGUAGGUGGCAAGCGUUGUCCGGAUUUACUGGGCGUAAAGGGAGCGUAGGUGGAUAUUUAAGUGGGAUGUGAAAUACCCGGGCUUAACCUGGGUGCUGCAUUCCAAACUGGAUAUCUAGAGUGCAGGAGAGGAAAGGAGAAUUCCUAGUGUAGCGGUGAAAUGCGUAGAGAUUAGGAAGAAUACCAGUGGCGAAGGCGCCUUUCUGGACUGUAACUGACACUGAGGCUCGAAAGCGUGGGGAGCAAACAGGAUUAGAUACC